CUCACGAUCAAGGGGAAAAGUGAAAGCUGAAUUGCCCGAAGGAAUGCGGAGAGGUCAGAGAGUCUGAGGAGAGCUGGGAGGUGUGGAAUAUGGCGAAACUAGAGGCGGUGUGUGAAAUCUGCAUGUUCCGGCCAGCACAUCUGCGCCGAAGGCCGAACACUGUGGGUCGUCAUGGUCCCAUCCACUCGCCCUGGCCUGCAAAACUCUAAAUGGAUCCCAGUCUUAGUGCUGCUCCUCUUGCCUCCCCACCAUGACAGCGGCUGUGGCCUCGCAGGUACCCGCGGGAGCAUCGACACUCCCCAGCUGCUCUGCAGGCAGAAUGGGACCAUGGGCUUCUGCUCGUGAAAUGCAUCAUUUCUAAACUGAGGCAGCUGACAGCCAACUCCACUUCUCUCCUGCCCUGACCACGGACCCCGGAGGACUCACGUUCCAAACGGCAUGGCCAGAAGGUGAAGGAGCACUGCGUGACCCACGCCAGAGGAGGAAAGCGGAAAGCAGGCAGAUCUUCCGUACACCACUGGGAACUGGGAUCUGCCUAAAGCAGC
RNAcentral lists this long non-coding RNA (545 nucleotides) under Fukomys damarensis (Damara mole-rat). Its description in RNAcentral is "lncRNA (ENSFDAG00000026915.1)". The record is from RNAcentral. Lineage: Eukaryota; Metazoa; Chordata; Mammalia; Rodentia; Bathyergidae.